AGCAGGAUGAUCAGCCACACAUUGAUGAUCAUUAAUAGACUGGAGACUGUCAGCAAGGAAUUUAGCGCACAAUUGGCGUGUGUUGCUGAAAAUGGCAUCUCCCCCUGCACGGCCCCUGCUUUACCUAGUAGCGUGACCAUGAAGCAAUGAACGAGCAGAGAGAUCUUAACAUGCACAGAGUCAGUCUGCUGCUCUAGACGCUUGCUCAUCUCACCAGCAGGAGCACGUAUAGCGUGCACUUAAAGAAACAAGAUCUCAUUCAGAUCAGCCAGAUGUUUCUUUCAGUCCCACAGUGCUGUUUUAUACAUUCGAGCUUCCAGCAACCAGAUGCACUUCAUGGCGAUAGAUAAAGAAAUUCCCAUGCGCCAGGAGUUAAAUAGUCCAACAAGUUAGAGCAUUGUCUACAAUUUCAAGAUGCUCUCGGAGGAAGUAAACAAGCAGACAUGCAGACGUGAAAAUAAGAACCCUCUUCUUCCCCUCCUUCCAUGUGACUGCAGAGGCAUAUGACUUCCAUAACUUCAUCGCUUAUUAACCGCUGAUGGGAGGACACAAUUGAAUGAGUGUUUGUAGAACUUGCCCUAGAUAUUUAGAUCUCAGUCCUUGGCUGUGGCUGUUGGGCAGAUCUUCUCCUGUUUCAGAUAGCUUCACCCUGCCUGACAACAGACCGUGAGGAACUUCACAUGAGAGUCCCAUGUAAGGAGUGAACUAUGGGAUACAAAGGCCAGUUAUGAUCAUUUAAAUCCUUUAGCAAGCACCACAGAAAAACAAAAGACAGAUUAGCAUGAUUUACCAUGCCGGUGUUAUUAAAUUACAUCAUCUAGCCUACAUAUGAGCCAACACAACUGAUAUACAGACAGUGUGCAGAUGUGCGCAGACAGUGGAAUAUCUAUAUGUAAGCACUGUGUAUUCUUUGUCUAUUAAUGAUUUGGUACACCAGGCUUUGUAAGGUCUUGAAUAGAGCUAGUAUUGAUAAGACCAAAAAUACAUAUAGGAAAUAGGCCUAGGCUAUCUUUAAAAAACAAUCUUCACUAUUAGCAUUAAGGGUAUGCAUGAACGACUUUAGUCAUUGUCUGGGCCUGACAUGGAUGUCGUUUAAAAAGUAAUGCAUUUAUAAAAUAUAUAAUUAAAAUAGUUUUUAUAUUAUGUUGUAUAUUUUAAAAUAACGCUGAUUGCUCUGAAACAAUAAAGUGAAAACGAACAAAGGCCUAUUAUUUUCUGUGGUUCGUGUGUAAAUAAAAACUGAUGGUAUGAUG
Long non-coding RNA from Cyprinus carpio carpio, 1253 nucleotides. The record is from Ensembl. NCBI's taxonomy places the organism in Eukaryota, Metazoa, Chordata, Actinopteri, Cypriniformes, Cyprinidae.